CGCCAGGGGACUACGAGCAAUGCUUAAAACCCAAAGGACUUGACGGUGUCCCACCCACCUAGAGGAGCCUGUCCUGUAAUCGAUGACCCCCGUUAUACCCAACCAUUCCUAGCUUCUCAGUCUGUAUACCUCCGUCGAAAGCCUACCAUGUAAACGUUCUCAGUAGGCCCAAUGAUUCCGUCAACACGUCAGGUCAAGGUGCAGCUUACGGAAUGGGAGAGAUGGGCUACAAUUUCUAAUUUAGAACAAACGAAAUACUAUGUGAAAUCAUAGUCACUGAAGGUGGAUUUAGUAGUAAAAAGAAAAUAGAGAGUUCUUUUUAACCNGGCUCUGG
Molecule: ribosomal RNA, 334 nt
Filed under: Petropedetes newtoni (Newton's water frog)
Lineage: Eukaryota; Metazoa; Chordata; Amphibia; Anura; Petropedetidae
Description: partial 12S ribosomal RNA
Rfam family: Bacterial small subunit ribosomal RNA
Source: RNAcentral